AUUCUAACCUUAUAGCUAGUUCCAAUGCAAUAACCAAAAAAAUGGUUAAAAAUUUGAUCAAAAACGGUGUCCGCCAUUUUAGCAACCAUCUUUGACGUAGCCACAUUUUUUUUUGUUUAGUUUCAAUUAUUAAGUUUUAUCAUCAAAUAAACAAUAUAUGGUUUUCGCAAACUUAAUUUCUAGUGCCCACUGGGUACCGUAAAUCGGCCAAAAACCGAUUCCGUCGAAAAGUAGUUUUAGUACCGAUCCAACUACUUGCCAGGUUAUCGUUGCUGGAUCCAGCACGAAUACACCGGUUCCAAAUCCGGUCCCUCGCUGACAAGAGAAGUUGCAGACAUCAACCAACAAGGAUCAUCUCCAAGGAACAACUCCAGAUUUAAGCCAGGGGUCGAGUGCGAGCAUUGGCGUUAUUGGUGGUCGGACGCUUGUGCGGUAUAGUAAUAAUCGGAUUUUUGUGAUAUUAUCUCAAAAAGAAAUGCUGGUGAUACAACAGUUCGAUCCGGGAAGAGACAUUUUACUGAAAGAAUGUUCAACGAGGAUCAAGAGAACAUAAACGGUUGAUGGCGGAACAAUUCUAAUUCAUCGGUUCCAAGAACGCCUCCUACUCUCGCCAUGAUCCUAAAACCGUAAACCGUUUGGAGCACCAUCAUAGAGGUGUAAUUCGAACGUACAUUCAUGAUCCAGAUUUAGUCCAGGAAAACAGUUAUCAAUAUGCGACAGCAGCAACAACAUGGCACGCUCCUGGUUCGAAGGCAAAUGUACCAGAACUGGCAGGCUUGGGAAAUAGAAAUUUUCAGUCGAUAUAAGAUUCGUAGAACUACGUCUGCUAUAUGGAAUUUCUUGAUUCCUAGCAGCGGGCCGGGUUAGGAGAGGGAAAGUCAGGACUGGUUGUUGAAACACCCCCUUGUCACUGGCCGCCCUCUUAAGCAAGACUCAACAGAUGGUUAUCAUACACCCACUUUCACAGGAACCGUCGUUACGCUUUUUGGUUUCGGCCGUGGAGCCACCUUUGUAUGAGCGAUGAGUUUUGGUUCCACAGCGAAUAAAAUGUAUGAAAAUUUCAACAUACUGAA
Long non-coding RNA from Uranotaenia lowii, 1073 nucleotides. RefSeq lists it as uncharacterized. The transcript is spliced from 4 exons. Lineage: Eukaryota; Metazoa; Arthropoda; Insecta; Diptera; Culicidae. The record is from RefSeq and is a predicted model, not a curated record.